This 414-nucleotide ribosomal RNA is filed under the name bacterium enrichment culture clone ALO1_GLFRUDD03G8M2E. RNAcentral describes it as "bacterial SSU rRNA". It matches the Rfam family "Bacterial small subunit ribosomal RNA", at positions 9 to 425 of the family's 1533-position model. The record is from RNAcentral.
GAGUUUGAUCUUGGCUCAGAUUGAACGCUGGCGGCAUGCCUUACACAUGCAAGUCGAACGGCAGCACGGGAGCUUGCUCCUGGUGGCGAGUGGCGAACGGGUGAGCAAUGCAUCGGAACGUAUCCUGGAGUGGGGGAUAACGUAGCGAAAGUUACGCUAAUACCGCAUAUUCUGUGAGCAGGAAAGCGGGGGACCUUCGGGCCUCGCGCUCUUGGAGCGGCCGAUGUCGGAUUAGCUAGUUGGUGAGGUAAAGGCUCACCAAGGCGACGAUCCGUAGCAGGUCUGAGAGGAUGAUCUGCCACACUGGAACUGAGACACGGUCCAGACUCCUACGGGAGGCAACAGUGGGAAUUUUGGACAAUGGGGGCAACCCUGAUCCAGCCAUGCCGCGUGAGUGAAGAAGGCCUCGGUUCG